UACGAGUGCUCCAAGCGUUAUCCGGAAUCAUUGGGCGUAAAGGGUGUGUAGGUGGUUGUGUUAGUCUUUUGUUAAAUUCUUCGGCUUAACCGGGGGCAUGCAAAAGAAACGGCACGACUAGAGGAUGCGAGAGGCACAUGGAACUCAUGGAGUAGGGGUGAAAUCCGUUGAUAUCAUGGGGAACACCGAAAGCGAAGGCAGCUCGCUGGGACGUGACUGACGCUGAGACGCGAAAGCGUGGGGAGCAAACAGG
Molecule: ribosomal RNA, 253 nt
Filed under: uncultured bacterium
Lineage: Bacteria
Description: partial 16S ribosomal RNA
Rfam family: Bacterial small subunit ribosomal RNA
Source: RNAcentral